This is a long non-coding RNA of Populus nigra (black poplar), 1422 nucleotides long. RefSeq lists it as uncharacterized. The record is from RefSeq and is a predicted model, not a curated record. The transcript is spliced from 2 exons. Lineage: Eukaryota; Viridiplantae; Streptophyta; Magnoliopsida; Malpighiales; Salicaceae.
AAAAAAUUAAAUUCAGGAUUCUGGCAUUACUGCACACGACCUGAUAAUAAGACCACAUGGAAUUUAAUGGAACUGCCAACAGUUAUAGAAAAGCUAAGUCUUCUAUCUCUGUGGUGCCCCUUUUUUUUUUUUUCCUCCUGCUAAGACAUGUGCAAGAGUUUUUGAAUUAGAACAAUCAUUUUAAAGCUGGCAUUGUAAUAAAUUCAAUCUGUUUCAAAGGAUAAGCCCCUAAUAAAUUGUGCAUUGGCAGCUAGCAAGCGCCUGUCUGGUAGCAGCCAUUAUCAUGUUUAAGUAAUAAGUAUAGCUACUGAUGUGACAAAAGCUACAAACCACCAUUAUUUCUUAGUUUCUACUUUCUACUGGCCAAGUUUUUGGAGAUCAAUUUCCGUGGAUAGCGAUCAGGGGUCUCUGGCCAUGACAUUAACACAUGUUAGAGGUCAGAAGAUGAAGAACAGCUGGAACAUCCCAACCAAGAAAGGAAAUUAAUUAUCUGAAAGCUGGCUUUGAAAGAAAUUAAUUAAAGAAGUGGGGCAGUUUCUUUCUUGUGUGUGUCAUGAUAAGGACCAAGGAAUUAAGAGGUACGCAUUAAUGAGAAGACAAUCAUUUAGUGAUGACUGAUUAUUAUCUAAUCAACUAGAAACAGUCAACAAAUAUAGAAUUUAAUUGCAUGCUAUAAAGCCAUUACACAUUAAAUUAGUUUUUGUUGUGGGUAGAACUCAUGAUUUAUAGUCUGGAAUUUGAUGAUAAUCUUAGAGAGAGAAAAGCAACGUCUUCAAGAGAAACUCAAUCAUUUGCAUAAAUUACAUCAACCACAUGAAAAAGAAGAAAACAUCAAGAACGGUGAUGGGAUCAGGAGAGUAGUACUCUUACCAGAAACUUGGGUUCCCUUCAGGCCACAUAAGGGUGGUAAAAGCUUGAGAAGCAUCAAGAGUUGGAGCAUCAUCAACACCAAAGCUCUCAUGAAAAGGAAUUACAGGACACUUACCUAAGUAACUUCGAUAUGGCUUAGGAUUAACGUGCCUGUUCUUAGUCUCCUCAGGAAGAUCAAACAGUGCCUUCACGGCACCAAACAUUUCUUCACGUAAGCUACCAGGGAUCUUAUCAUAAACCAAAAAGAAGACCCCAUGAGUCUCACAUGCCUCUCUAACUUGGUUGCACAAUUCUUUCCACUUCUCACUCUUAACUUCUAAGCCUGUCAAAGCUUCUUCAGAGAAAUCAAGAAAUGGGAUUUCGACCUUAGCUACAGCCAUAUCUCUCUCUCUCUCUCACUCUCUCACUCUCUCAAUGCUGUUGUUUGCUGUAGUACAAGUACUCCUAGCUAGAGAGGUAUAUCUCAUUAAAUAAGAGGAAGUAGUUCAAGUAUGUCCAAAAAUUGGGUUUUACUUUCGAAGAAGUGAUCUGGGCACCCAUCAUUGCUUCCUA